UACGGAGGGUGCGAGCGUUGUCCGGAAUCACUGGGCGUAAAGGGCGCGUAGGCGGCGCGGAUAGUCGGCGGUGAAAGCCCGGAGCUCAACUCCGGGUCGGCCGUCGAUACUUCCGGGCUUGAGCACUGUAGAGGCAGAUGGAAUUCCGGGUGUAGCGGUGGAAUGCGUAGAGAUCCGGAGGAAGACCGGUGGCGAAGGCGGCCUGCUGGGCAGUUACUGACACUGAGGCGCGACAGCGUGGGGAGCAAACAGG
This 253-nucleotide ribosomal RNA is filed under the name uncultured bacterium. Its description in RNAcentral is "partial 16S ribosomal RNA". It matches the Rfam family "Bacterial small subunit ribosomal RNA", at positions 524 to 776 of the family's 1533-position model. The record is from RNAcentral.